Molecule: ribosomal RNA, 402 nt
Filed under: uncultured bacterium
Lineage: Bacteria
Description: bacterial SSU rRNA
Rfam family: Bacterial small subunit ribosomal RNA
Source: RNAcentral
AAUCAACGCUGGCGGCGUGCCUCAGACAUGCAAGUCGAACGCGAAAGGUUCCUUCGGGGACCGAGUAGAGUGGCGCACGGGUGAGUAACACGUAGGUAAUUUGCCUUUGGGUGGGGGAAUAACUCAGGGAAACUUGAGCUAAUACCGCAUAAUGCAGCGGCUCGACAUCGAGACAGUUGUUAAAGCGGGGGGAUUCGCAAGAACCUCGCGCCUAAAGAGAAGCCUGCGGCAGAUAGCUAGUUGGUAAGGUAAUGGCUUACCAAGGCGACGAUCUGUAACCGGCCUGAGAGGGCGGUCGGUCACACUGACACUGACAUACGGGUCAGACUCCUACGGGAGGCAGCAGUCGGGAAUUUUGGGCAAUGGGCGAAAGCCUGACCCAGCAACGCCGCGUGAAGGAUG